This 54-nucleotide transfer RNA is filed under the name Purpureocillium takamizusanense. RNAcentral's name for it is "tRNA-Ile". The record is from RNAcentral. Lineage: Eukaryota; Fungi; Ascomycota; Sordariomycetes; Hypocreales; Ophiocordycipitaceae.
CUCCAUAGUAUAGAAUCUAUAUUGUGUUAAUUAUAGGUAUAGAGCACCUAUGGC